Non-coding RNA from Notechis scutatus (mainland tiger snake), 2204 nucleotides. NCBI's taxonomy places the organism in Eukaryota, Metazoa, Chordata, Lepidosauria, Squamata, Elapidae. The record is from RefSeq and is a predicted model, not a curated record.
UAAUUAUAAUAGAGAUACAUAGAUUCUCAAAAUAAAAGCUACAUAAAAAGCAAUUUUUUAAAAGUGAAAAGGAAAAAUACCAACAGAAAAAAAACCAAAGUAUAUCAUUGCAGUAUAAGAGUUACAAUUCUAUAGAUACUUAUCUAAUACACAAGCACACAUAUAUUAAUUUCUAAUACAUUUAUAUAACUAUCAUUCAUCUUUAAACAACUCCAUUUUGUAAAACUGAGUUCCAUGUUUCAUUAUACUUGACUAUACAAAGUUCUACAUCUACAGACAAACUACUCAUAGAUGGCAAAUUUAACCAGGUCUUCAGUCUAUUGAGUCAUUACAUUUAUCCUUCCAAUAUUGCAAUAUCAGUGUUUUGGUCACAGGAAGGGCACAAAGAAUACAUUUAUAUUCUAAUACCCAUGUGGUAGGCAUGUAAAUUAAAAUAAUGACCUCUUAAAAUUUAAGAAAAGGUAAUAUAACAUGACAGUGGUGAGACAGUCCAUCAAAUAAAUAAGCUGUUGCAGAUGAAGUUUAAUGCUAUUAAAUGCAGCUGAAAUUUGCAAGAAUUACAACAAUCCUAUUGUAAGACGACAAAGGGGAAUAAUGUGGACACACAAGUCAGUGACAAUGCUGAAUCAACACAGCUAUUGUGGAUAAAGAACCUUAAGUGACUUCCCAGUGCAUUUUAAUUUGGAUCUGCAUUGUUUUUUGUAAUAAAUGCCUUAACCCUGGAAUCGUAAAGGGAGGUCCGAAAUUAGAUUCCACCGAUUACAAAGUUUGGAAUUUAGUGGAUACUCAGAUCUGCUUGUAUUUCUUUUCUAUUUUGGUUUUGAAUCAGUGACAAAUUUUGUUUUAUUCUGUUUUUAUUUUGGUGUUUAGGUUUACUAAGUAGUUCAGGCGAAAGUAUAACUGCUUCCAUGAAAAUGUAUAUGCCCCUUUUUCUUUCUUUUCUUUCUUUUUGCAAAGUAUUGACACUAUUUUACUGUAAGAGUUUCAUGUGGAUACUGAAUAUUUCUCAGGAAAAAUGGCGGAGGUCCUUUUAUUAAAAAAAAAAAAAAGAUAAUGGAUUUAUCACUUAGAAAUAUAGUCCAUCUAAAUUGCAAUCCUUAUCUCCUUUGAACAAACUAAACCUUACCUCAAAAGAUACUUAAGUGGUCAAUCUUUUUCCCGUAACUUUAGAAAGAGGAACACUAAAGAUGGGAAAAUCCAUUAGCCAUCACCACCAAAGGAGCUGGUUUUCCUGGUUCCCAUAGCCAACCAUUUGUACCAGCUUCCCUGAGAGAAGGAUCCUAGAUAUCUGUUAUUUUAAAAUAAUGUAUAUUGUGCUUUUAAUUACAAUUGCUCAUAUAACUUUAAAUUACUUUAUACAGGGUAUUCAUUUUGAAAGGUGGUUCACAGCCUGCAAUUAGUUGAAAUAAAAAAGAUGCGACCUUUAAGUGGCUGGCCAUAAUGUUUGGUUUGAAUGUAGCAGUGGGUAAGGUUAAUAUUGGUGGGGUCUGGAAAAAAAUAGCACUACUCAUCCCAAACUGAGUGGGGGACGGACGGACCCCAAAAUAAAUAUCAAAUCAAGAAGUGGAACUCUUAAAGAAUGGCUUGGCUCUAUCAAGCUGCUAAGCUAUUAUACAGUAAGUUCUGGAGAGCCAGUGUGGUUUCAAUUUCACCAUACCAGUUACCAGCUUAACCUUUUUGAAUUAUAACGUAACACAAACUCUAUUUGUGAUACAGAUGUAACUAGGUAGUUUAUUAAAUAAGUCUCCAGACUAUUUCAUAUGCAUUACAAGUAACUGACAGCUGGCAGAAAUGUGGGGAAUAUUUUCCGUUUCCCUAAAUAUGCCAUUCAUAUCACAGCAAGGCAAUUAAAGUUGAAGGUCAGAAGAGAUGGAAGAGAAGCGCUCUGGAUCCAAUAAUAGUCUUCCUGCCUCCAUUUUCUUGACCUCAAGCUCAGAUUUCACCACCACCACCACCCCAUCCUCAAAUGGAAUAGUAAAGCUAACAUAGUAACUGGAGGUUAAAUUGAAUGAUUAAAAAAAUAUCAGUUUCAAGUGAUUCAAAGAGUGGCUGGUCAGGUAUCUACUUAGUGAAAUCAGGAACAUCUGGCUGACUCAGAUGAUGGCCUUGAAUUAAAUUCAGAAGCUAUUCCUUUACAGCAAGGCUCUUCAAACUUGACAGCUUUAAGACUUGGGGACUUCAACUCCCAGAAUUCCUCGAGACAU